GAUGAAGAACGUAGCGAAAUGCGAUAAGUAAUGUGAAUUGCAGAAUUCAGUGAAUCAUCGAAUCUUUGAACGCACAUUGCGCCCGCCAGUAUUCUGGCGGGCAUGCCUGUUCGAGCGUCAUUACAACCCUCAGGCCCCCGGGCCUGGCGUUGGGGAUCGGCGGAAGCCCCCUGUGGGCACACGCCGUCCCUCAAAUACAGUGGCGGUCCCGCCGCAGCUUCCAUUGCGUAGUAGCUAACAUCUCGCAUCUGGAGAGCGGCGCGGUCAUGCCGUAAAACACCCAACUUCUCAGGUUGACCUCAGAUCAGGUAGGAAUACCCGCUGAACUUAAGCAUAUCAAUAAGCGGAGGA
Molecule: unclassified non-coding RNA, 351 nt
Filed under: soil metagenome
Description: partial contains 5.8S ribosomal RNA, internal transcribed spacer 2, and large subunit ribosomal RNA
Rfam family: 5.8S ribosomal RNA (bases 1-120)
Source: RNAcentral